AGAGUUUGAUCCUGGCUCAGAUUGAACGCUGGCGGCAUGCCUUACACAUGCAAGUCGAACGGCAGCAUAGGAGCUUGCUCCUGAUGGCGAGUGGCGAACGGGUGAGUAAUAUAUCGGAACGUGCCCUAGAGUGGGGGAUAACUAGUCGAAAGACUAGCUAAUACCGCAUACGAUCUACGGAUGAAAGUGGGGGAUCGCAAGACCUCAUGCUCCUGGAGCGGCCGAUAUCUGAUUAGCUAGUUGGUGGGGUAAAAGCCUACCAAGGCAACGAUCAGUAGCUGGUCUGAGAGGACGACCAGCCACACUGGGACUGAGACACGGCCCAGACUCCUACGGGAGGCAGCAGUGGGGAAUUUUGGACAAUGGGGGCAACCCUGAUCCAGCAAUGCCGCGUGAGUGAAGAAGGCCUUCGGGUUGUAAAGCUCUUUUGUCAGGGAAGAAACGGUGGUAGCGAAUAACUACUACUAAUGACGGUACCUGAAGAAUAAGCACCGGCUAACUACGUGCCAGCAGCCGCGGUAAU
This 523-nucleotide ribosomal RNA is filed under the name uncultured bacterium. Its description in RNAcentral is "bacterial SSU rRNA". It matches the Rfam family "Bacterial small subunit ribosomal RNA", at positions 8 to 524 of the family's 1533-position model. The record is from RNAcentral.